This 450-nucleotide ribosomal RNA is filed under the name uncultured bacterium. RNAcentral's name for it is "partial 16S ribosomal RNA". It matches the Rfam family "Bacterial small subunit ribosomal RNA", at positions 354 to 796 of the family's 1533-position model. The record is from RNAcentral.
GUGGGGAAUAUUGGACAAUGGGCGAAAGCCUGAUCCAGCCAUGCCGCGUGUGUGAAGAAGGUCUUCGGAUUGUAAAGCACUUUAAGUUGGGAGGAAGGGCAGUAAGUUAAUACCUUGCUGUUUUGACGUUACCAACAGAAUAAGCACCGGCUAACUUCGUGCCAGCAGCCGCGGUAAUACGAAGGGUGCAAGCGUUAAUCGGAAUUACUGGGCGUAAAGCGCGCGUAGGUGGUUCAGCAAGUUGAAGGUGAAAUCCCCGGGCUCAACCUGGGAACUGCCUCCAAAACUACUGAGAUAGAGUACGGUAGAGGGUAGUGGAAUUUCCUGUGUAGCGGUGAAAUGAGUAGAUAUAGGAAGGAACACCAGUGGCGAAGGCGACUACCUGGACUGAUACUGACACUGAGGUGCGAAAGCGUGGGGAGCAAACAGGAUUAGAUACCCCAGUAGUCC